This 1731-nucleotide ribosomal RNA is filed under the name Triticum aestivum (bread wheat). RNAcentral's name for it is "partial small subunit ribosomal RNA". Lineage: Eukaryota; Viridiplantae; Streptophyta; Magnoliopsida; Poales; Poaceae. The record is from RNAcentral.
AUGGGGAUGAAAUUUCUGAACAAGAAGGGGUGGCACACGGGGAGCCUCCGCAACGUGGAGAAGGUGUGGGUGGCGGAGCAGAAGGAGAAGGAGGAGCAGCACAAGAUCGAGGAGUACAAGAAGCAGCUCAAAGAGGAGCGGGAGAAGGCCGAGUUCCGCGCCAUCCAGGAGCAGGCCGGAUUCAAGCCGAGGCAGGAGAGGUUGGAAUUCCUCUAUGAGUCAGGGCUGGGUGUUGGCAAGGGGAGUUCGGAUGGAUUCCAAGCACUGCAGCAACCUGGCCCAGCGGUGGCCGCUGCCGCCUCCUCUUCUGCUCCAACGGCUGCUGGCUCUUCCAAGGAUACUUCCCUGGGAGCUCUAUUUGAGGAGAAGCCUCAAUCUGCAAAUGACACAUGGAGGAAACUUCACUCUGAUCCUCUACUCCUAAUAAGGCAGCGUGAGCAGGAUGCUAUUGCAAGGAUUAAAAAUAAUCCAAUCAAGAUGGCCGAGAUAAAGAAAUCAAUGGAAGCAGAAAAAAUGCAGAAGGAAGAAAAGAAAGAGGAGAGAAAGCACAAAAAACAUCGUCAUCAUAAGUCAAAGAGUAAGAGGCAUCACUCAGCUGAAAAUUCUGAUUCGGAUGACGUAAGUGAUGGCAAGAACGAAGGGAGAAAGAAAGUUCCUUCUGCUCCAGAGCACAAGAGGGAAGUGAAAAGGUCAAGGCAUCAGAAGAAAGAAAGUAGACAAGAAUCCUCGGAUACAGAAGAUGAUGAACCAAGGAAAAGAAGGCAGGAGAUUUCAGAAGAUGAUCAACCAAAGAGAAGACGACAAGACAAGUCAGAAGAUGCUGAACGGAGAAGACGGCGGGAGAUGUCACAGGAUGAUGAACCAAGGAGAAGACGGCAGGAUACGCCAGAAGAUGAUGAACCAAGGAGAAGACGACGGGAUACGCCAGAAGAUGAUGAACCAAGGAGAAGACGGCGAGAUACGCCGGAAGAUGAUGAACCAAGGAGAAGACGGCGAGAUACACCAGAAGAUGAUGAACCAAGGAGAAGACAGCGGGAUAUGCCAGAGGAUGAUGAACCAAUGAGAAGGCGACGGGAUAUGCCAGAAGAUGAUGAACCAAGGAGAAGACGGCCAGAAAUGUCUAAGCAUGAUGAGCAUCCACGCCGGGAUCGGCCAGAUGCUGAUGAUAGGAGGAGACACAAUUCGGGUUCAGACCGCCACCAUGCUUAUCCAAAGCAUGACAGCUCAGACUCGAAGCAGAGAAGUAUUGGAAAUGGCCGGAACAAUGGCAAUUCCACUUCUGAACACCGCUCCCAUGCUGAAGUCGCUUCAGGAGAUCAACGAAGACAGGAGAGCCGGCAGGGCAGGGAACUAGGUUCAGAAGACCGUGGAAGACAAGAAGGCCAGCAGGGCAGGAACAAUGGGCCCACAACUAACCGCCGUCGAGGGGGCGUGCACCAUAUGUCGGAAGAGGAGAGGGAAGCUCGUCUACGGCAAAUGCAGGCAGACGCCGAGGUCCACGAAGAGCAGAGGUGGAAGAGGAUCAAGAAGGCUGCAGAUGAUGAUGCCAAAGAGGCGUCCACGGUGGCUGCAAACCAGUUCAGAGGGAAGAAUUUCUUGGAGGACGAAAAGAAGAGUAUAUUUGGUGCUGAAAAGGGCGGCAGCGCCACCAUCGAAGAGAGCAUCCGCCGCCGCGCCUAUUAUUCUCAGGGUGGCGGUGAUGCCCAUGAGGCCAAUGCGUUCAGGCGGUGA